This 253-nucleotide ribosomal RNA is filed under the name uncultured bacterium. RNAcentral describes it as "partial 16S ribosomal RNA". It matches the Rfam family "Bacterial small subunit ribosomal RNA", at positions 524 to 776 of the family's 1533-position model. The record is from RNAcentral.
UACGGAGGGUGCAAGCGUUAUCCGGAUUCACUGGGUUUAAAGGGUGCGUAGGCGGCGCGGUAAGUCGGGUGUGAAAUUUCGAGGCUUAACUUCGAAACUGCAUUCGAUACUGCCGUGCUUGAGGACUGGAGAGGAGACUGGAAUUUACGGUGUAGCGGUGAAAUGCGUAGAUAUCGUAAGGAAGACCAGUGGCGAAGGCGGGUCUCUGGACAGUUCCUGACGCUGAGGCACGAAGGCCAGGGGAGCAAACGGG